AGCGAACGCUGGCGGCAGGCUUAACACAUGCAAGUCGAGCGGGCCCUUCGGGGUCAGCGGCAGACGGGUGAGUAACGCGUGGGAACGUGCCCUUCGGUUCGGAAUAACUCAGGGAAACUUGAGCUAAUACCGGAUACGCCCUUUUGGGGAAAGGCUUGACUGCCGAAGGAUCGGCCCGCGUCUGAUUAGCUAGUUGGUGAGGUUACGGCUCAACAAGGCGACGAUCAGUAGCUGGUCUGAGAGGAUGAUCAGCCAAACUGGGACUGAGACACGGCCCAGACUCCUACGGGAGGCAGCAGUGGGGAAUAUUGGACAAUGGGGGCAACCCUGAUCCAGCCAUGCCGCGUGAGUGAUGACGGCCUUAGGGUUGUAAAGCUCUUUUCUCCGGGACGAUAAUGACGGUACCGGAGGAAUAAGCCCCGGCUAACUUCGUGCCAGCCGCCGCCGUAA
Molecule: ribosomal RNA, 450 nt
Filed under: uncultured bacterium
Lineage: Bacteria
Description: partial 16S ribosomal RNA
Rfam family: Bacterial small subunit ribosomal RNA
Source: RNAcentral